AAGAAAAUCAAGGAAGGGAGGUCCCAUCGCCGCGCAGCAGAAAUGAAUCUGACUAGGAACCCUGAGGAGGUUCGAUCGAACCCGCAACCCCGAGGUUCGAUCCCUGGCCUUGCUCAUGGGUUAAGGAUCUGGCACUGCUGUGAGCUGUGGUGUAGGUCACAGACUCGCCUCAGAUCUGAUGUGGCUGUGGCUGUGGUGCAGGCCAGCAGCUGUAGCUCUGAUUCGACCCCUAGCCUGGGAAACUCCAUAUGCCGCAUGCUGCAGGUGUGGCCCUAAAAAGCAAAAAAAAAAAAAACAAAGUCAAGAAAGGCAUCACCUGUGUGUGAAGACUUCUUCACUGACUCAGGCUGCGUGAGAGCACCAGGUUCCUGUCAUAGCUCAGUGGUUAACGAACCCGACUAGGAACCAUAAGGAUGCAGGUUCGAUUCCUGGCUCCCCUUCAGCAAGGUCUGGUAUUGCCUUGAGCUGUGGUGUAGGGUUGCAGACCCAGUUUGGACCCUGCGUUGCUGUGCCUGCGCCUAAUAGGCCAGCACAACCCCCAGCUUGGGAACCUCCAUGUACCGAGGGUGUGGCCCUAAAACGCAAGUAAAUAAGUACUCAUACCACCAUGAUGUAAAUGGUAUUGGCUGACAGAGUUUCAAUCCCUGGGUCCUGAGUUAAAGGAUCCAGUGUUUCCCAUCCUGCCUUAGCAGGGAUGAAUCAGAGAUCGAAUCCACAGGGGCACAGGUUCGAUCCCUGGCCUCGUUCAGUGGGUUAAGGCCCCAGCGUUGCCUUGAGCUGUGGUGUAAGUCAUGGACGCAGCUCAGCUCUGGCGUGGCUGUGGCUGUGGUGUGGGCUGGCAGUUUGUAGCUCCAAUUCCAUCCCUAGCCUAGGAACUACCAUAUGCUGCAGGUACAGCCCUAAAUAAACCAAAAACCAGAAAAACCAAAACUAUUGCCUAGUUCAUAGCAUCUUUCUGUUCUUUUCUGUUCAUUUCUUACCAGAGAUGCUUAUGCAAGUAACAUUUUAAGCAUGUAAUUCAGCUAAUAAUUAUGUAAACCUCUUAUGAAAUAAGUUAUAAAGGGGUUGUUUCUAUGAAAAGUAGGUUUAGAAACAGCAGAAUCCUUUUAAAGAAAUGAGCUGCUGCAAGUUCCCUAGUGGCUCUGUGCACUGCUGCAGCUGUGGCGUAGGAGGGUUUGAUCCCUGGCCCGGGGAACUUCCACAUGCUCUGGGUGAGACAGAAAAGGAAAGAUUUUUUUCUUUCCUGUACCUGCAGCAUGCAGAAGUUCCCAGGCCAGGGACUGAACCCACACCACAGCAGCAACCUGAGCUGCUGCAUUGACAAAUCCAGAUCUUUUUUUGCUUUUUAGGGCCCCACCC
Molecule: long non-coding RNA, 1359 nt
Filed under: Sus scrofa (pig)
Lineage: Eukaryota; Metazoa; Chordata; Mammalia; Artiodactyla; Suidae
Description: lncRNA (multiple genes)
Source: RNAcentral